Rhinolophus ferrumequinum (greater horseshoe bat) is the source of this 61-nucleotide microRNA precursor. Ensembl annotates it as microRNA 155. Its record names the gene MIR155. Lineage: Eukaryota; Metazoa; Chordata; Mammalia; Chiroptera; Rhinolophidae. The record is from Ensembl.
UUAAUGCUAAUCGUGAUAGGGGUUUUUACCUCCGACUGACUCCUACAUGUUAGCAUUAACA